AGAAAUAAAGAAAUCUCCAUCUUCUCUCUCUAUUUAUUCUUGUUGUUUUUUAUUUAUAUUUUAUAACACAUUAUCAGCACGAGUCUCUAAUAAAUAAGAGAUUGUUUCUUUUUCGGAUAAGGUCAUUACCUGUAGCUUGUUGAAAAUCCAAAGAAAAUCAUUGGUAUAACCGAGGUCCUUAAUUUGUGGAGGAGAAUGAUUCAAGUGGAUGUAAUUAUGGUAUGUAUAUAUUAUUUCAUCCGGGAUGAUUUUAGCAAACAUUGACAAAAGAUUAUAGUGCCAUCUUAGGUAAAGCAAUUUGAGCUUUUUGCUCAUUGUUGUUUUGUUUCACGGACCAC
Molecule: long non-coding RNA, 338 nt
Filed under: Capsicum annuum
Lineage: Eukaryota; Viridiplantae; Streptophyta; Magnoliopsida; Solanales; Solanaceae
Description: long non-coding RNA (CANN_LNC020278)
Source: RNAcentral